GCACAUUUUACGCAAGUUUUUUAAAAGACAAAAAAAAAAUCAUGUUUAGGAAAUUAAUGUACCAAAUUUGAUAAUACAAAAAAGAGAUUCUUCUCAAGAUAGAUUGAAUCGUACAAAAAGUUAUAAUAAGUUUAAUGCAAAUAAAAGCAAUAUAUAAAUUGAACCUCUAUACAUAAGACAAAGAAGAAGUAGGUAAGAGAGAUAAUGAUCAUAUAAAAUAUGUUAGGCAGAUUUAACUCUUGUCAAUUAUGUGUUCUGUGUUAUAAUCAUUAUAAAACUCAAAAUCUUACAAAUAUAAUACAACUCCCAUAAUUAUUUAAUAGGAAUCACUUUUCACAAAAGAUACCGACAAACACUAGUUUUAAACUUGGAAAGAUUAAAAUCCACUCCGAUCAAACAUAGGCCUAAAUUGCUUCUUAUAAAUUCAUGUGUAUAUUAAUAAUUUGCUUCCAAUUCAAUAACCAAAAUAAUAUCUAAAUUUAAUUUUAGAAAGAUAAAGACAUUGCCUUCCAAAAGCCUCCCCACCAAAA
This 530-nucleotide unclassified non-coding RNA is filed under the name Hevea brasiliensis (rubber tree). The record is from RNAcentral. Lineage: Eukaryota; Viridiplantae; Streptophyta; Magnoliopsida; Malpighiales; Euphorbiaceae.